AGAAAGAGAAACUUCCAUUGCUAACAUGAAGCCAAAUUGUCCUAAACAGAAGUCUUGAGACUUCUCUUCUUUUGGUGUGGAUUCUGGAACUCCUUUCUGAAGCAAGAGGCAAAUAUCUCUCAGCAGAGAAUGCCAAGACCAAUCACUUAACCAUGGCAGUCUUCCUCGGCAUGUUAAUUCCGACCCUGAUGGUCCCAAGAUGGCUGCAGCAGUUUCAGCCAUGUUAUCCUAACCCACCAACAUCUGAAGGUAUCUAUCUUUUCCAUCUCCAUCUAUUAAAAAUGUAGGAUACUUUUACCAGAAGGUCCUCCUCUAGACUACUACUCAUGUUUCAUUGGACAAAUUUGGUCCCAUGGAAUUUCUUAAGUCAUUUACUGAUGAGGGAAGUGGAAUUAUCAUGACUGGAUUAGACUACCUAAGAUUCACCACUCCUGAGCCUGGAGAAAGAUCAUUUUCUCAGAGCAAACAACUGCAUAUGGCUAAAGAUAGAAAUGAACUAUAAAACAAAACUGGAGUCCUCCAGGAAAGAAAGGGGGAAUUAAAGGGAAACAAUUGGGUAGGCAAAACACAACAGUCUUCAAUGCCAAAUAAACUUUGUUUUGUUACUCUCCCA
This 613-nucleotide non-coding RNA is filed under the name Pongo abelii (Sumatran orangutan). The record is from RNAcentral. Lineage: Eukaryota; Metazoa; Chordata; Mammalia; Primates; Hominidae.